Molecule: long non-coding RNA, 2023 nt
Organism: Diachasmimorpha longicaudata
Lineage: Eukaryota; Metazoa; Arthropoda; Insecta; Hymenoptera; Braconidae
Exons: 4
Source: RefSeq, a predicted model, not a curated record
CUUACGCAGAAAGCGUUGAAAUUCCAUUACAAAAAAAAUUAAAACACCAGACAAAAUUACAAAUUGCAUUAUCCGGUCAAUAAUCCCGGGAACGUGCGAUGUGAUUGGUGCAUUAAAAUAAUAAAAAAUUGAUUUUAUCUCUGACUCUCUAUGCAACUAUUUUCCACUCUAUUAUUUGGACCUCCUAAUUACGCCUCGAGAUCUAACACCGUGCAAUUUUUUUCAAGAAUUCACACAUGCUCUCCUGUAAUAGAAGGAAGAAGACUCCUGCCCUCACUAGUGUACAGUUACAACGUGUCUACCCCUUGAGAUUUCAGAUGACUUAGCAUUGUCAAACUACAUGAACAUACCUUGCGAAUGCGUACGAUUGUUCGACAUCUGCAGAAUCUAUUUUUUCAUCGACUGAAGUAUUUUCUUUUCUCUGGGUAAGAGACCGAGAGACAAGAAGUACCUUUGGAGAAUAAAGUCGAGGGUCCAAGGGGCGACUAAAGACGAAUAAUGAAUGCCGACACAGAAGUGGCAAGUAAGUGCACGCCCGAGUGAUUGAGGGAUAAUUAAAGAGGAUUAGGGAAAAGGGAACGGAAGUGAAGUGGAGAGGUACAAGCUACGAGGAAUAGGAUCACCCAAGAUUGCUUACUGCUGAUGAUGAUAAUGAAAUCUCACAGAUUAAAACUUCAAUUUCUUCAGUCCUUGGGGGCAACAGUAAAGGCGAUAGUUGUCACGAAGUAAUCAAUUAUCCCAAAGUUCUCCAGCGUCAAGACACAGAUGUCUUGCUUUGUUGUUUAUAAUUCUCCUUCGCAUAGGAAGUAUGCGUCUCUCAACUAAUUAAGGGUAAAACGUGAGCUAUAUCAGGAAGCAAACGAGACGAGUUUCAAGGCAAAUCUAAGGGAGAACCUCGAUAUUGAGCGUCACAGUGAGAAGCAUUUCCAUCCCCUGAGAAUGUUCGUGUCUUGUGCGAUCCAAAGAAUGCCUCUGGGAAUGAUGCAAAUUCCGUGGACGUCUUAUCUAACACCGGAUAUUCAACGCUAGAAAACGACACUCGUCAUGUACAACCGGCAAUUCUACCUCAAUUUCGUGUCUGCCAUUGUUUAGGCAAUAGAUCUCUUUCGGGAUUUCCGCAAUUUUCAAGUAACAAAAUUAACGUAUCUGCUCUUACCCCGGUGGAAAAUCGACAGUUCAUUUAGGUCGACUUUACCUGAAUCUUCGAUAUUUCCCCCAGUUGUCCCUCAUGUCGCACUGGAAACUGAUAAUUUUUUUUUCGUUAAAUUAUUUGAACUCGACUGUUGUUUGGCUGACGAGCUGCCAUUUUGAAUGAGAAACUUAGAAAACUAUGUUGGGAACUUGGACAAUUAUAUUUGAAAUUUCGAACGAAAAAGCUUGAAAUUGUUGAGAAUGAUGGAGUUGCAUAAAAUUUCAUUAACUUUCUUCAUUAACAAUUCACUUAAUUUUUAAAAUAUUCAACUAAUUAUCAAUUUUCAAGCCCCCGCGGUACCGAAAAAUCCUGUCAACAUCUUUUCUGAAUUUUCAAUUCACAGUCAGUUUGCCUAUUUAAACUGUCAUUAAAAACCGUGUCCGUUAACGUUGUCAAUUGACGUUGAAUUCAACCUCAAAAUAAUGAAAAAUAAAAUGACAUUGGAACUGGAAUUCCAAGAGCUUUCCAGCAGUCACAGGUAUUCCAAUGACAAUUCCCUGAGACUCCAACAAGCUCCAAAUAUUCGACCUGCCAUCAUCCCCUUUUUGACUAAAUUUUGAUUUUCCCUCGAAUAUCACAAAUGAAUUAUCUCCCUUCACCACCGCAAUUCCUCACAAUUGAUUCCAAUCUCAUCGUCACCCCGACAGUCAUAUUUUCAUUCCACCAAUUUCAUUAAAAACAAAAUUCAAGAAACCUUCACUCACCCUGACGUAUCACGAAAAUUAAUCAAAUCCCAAGUUGACUGGAAAUUAUUGCCCACUCACCCAUUAUUUAUGGAUUUCCCUUGACAGAAUAAGGGAAUGAAACAAACUGGUGCAUCACGACGCUAUA